GUUUGUGUUUACUUCUUUGCUUGUGUGCUGUUAGCUGCUAUCACAUGAGAUGCCAGCCCAGGGGCCUGGUAGUUACCAUGGAACCAGGCAGCAGAAGGAGCAGAUAAACUCAAAACAUUGAGUUCUGUGGGUGACAAGGAGCCAGGAGUUCUGAAGCCCUAAAAAGUAUCUUUUAUCAUGGAGGACCCAUGCCUCUACUGAUGAUAGUGGGAGGAUGUCUUCUGUACCCUUCACACUGGAUUCCGCACGAUUCAUUUACACGCAUCGGAUGGCCACUCUCAGAUGAAAACCUGCUGCAGAGUGGCAGGCGUGGGAUGUUAGUUUUUACUUUAUGACUGAGAUGGUCCCUGCUGUUACGGAGUUUACAGACUAGAAUGAGGGGAUCAACACAAACAUCUAUGUGAUUAUACUGAUGAAUGUUUGUCGAGUUGAUGGUAAAUGUUCCACCGAGUUCACAGAAUCUUGGCCUUCGGUUUAUACCUGGAAUGAGCUUAGAGAUCCAGUAUAACUCUCAUCUUACACAAGAAGAAAUCGAAAGACAGAUGGGAUAGCCAUGGCUUCCCCAUUUUCCAGAUGAGGAAACUGAGGAUUAGAGACGCUGAAUACCUUGCUCAAGGACACACGGGCAGAAUGAAAAAUUCCAAUGCCAGAUUUUGUCAUAGCAACCAGAGGCAAAUAUCAAGACAGCAGUAAAGAACAAACUCCAGGAAGGGUUUCCCUGCAGUGCGGCUUGCCUUUCUGUAGGGCACCCAUCAUCUGUGCGAAACCUGGAAGGUUCGAGUGGGUCCUGCAGUUCUUCGUGGGGGGUCUAGUGGAGUCCAGCUUAGCUGACUUCCAGGACCCAACAGGAAAUGCAUCUCUCUGUUGGCCGGGCCAGGUGCAGAAGGACUGGCUGGCUUGCUCCUCAGGUCUUGCACUUGUUGUGUGUUGAUCUUUACUUUUGUAUGUCAAGUUUUUGAAAUUAAAUGUACUGAAUUAUUAUUAUUCCAUCAUGCUUUUCCUCUGAGGAGUUUAAUAAACAAGCCAGUUGCUUUUUUCCUGAAGUGUCCCCUCAAAUGCUCUCUGGAAGAAGGCAGGGUAUAUAUGAGUAAGCAAACAAAACAAUAAGACACAAGAGUCUUCAAAUACCUGCCCACCAGUGUCCCUCGUACUGUUCCUUUCCUCUUUGUGAUCAUUGUCACAGUGAUGCUAUGAGGUCAGUAUCUUUGCCCAUGGGUAAAAUCAUCUCGAGUUUCCCUACAGUCUAGCCUCUUGCUGCAAACACCUUUGAGUU
Long non-coding RNA from Hipposideros armiger (great roundleaf bat), 1273 nucleotides. RefSeq lists it as uncharacterized. The record is from RefSeq and is a predicted model, not a curated record. NCBI's taxonomy places the organism in Eukaryota, Metazoa, Chordata, Mammalia, Chiroptera, Hipposideridae. The transcript has 6 exons.